GUUUCUAUCUACAAUGUUCAAUCCCAACUUUGAUGAGUCCUAGUACGCAAGGAAUGGUCUCAGCGAUGCUCGACUAUAUAGGCCCCAUCGACGUAAUCAACUUCUGGCUGCUGCAA
RNAcentral lists this ribosomal RNA (116 nucleotides) under Umbellula sp. 3 RH-2019. RNAcentral describes it as "partial large subunit ribosomal RNA". The record is from RNAcentral. Lineage: Eukaryota; Metazoa; Cnidaria; Anthozoa; Scleralcyonacea; Umbellulidae.